AGCAGCCGCGGUAAUUCCAGCUCCAAUAGCGUAUAUUAAAGUUGCUGCAGUUAAAAAGCUCGUAGUUGAAUUUCGGGACCAAUAUGUCGGUCGUGCCUCGGUACGUACUGGCAUCGUUGGUUUCUCCUUUCUGAAGAACCAUGAUGUCAUUUAUUUGGUGUCGUGGGGAAUCAGGACUGUUACUUUGAAAAAAUUAGAGUGUUUAAAGCAGGCUCACGCUUGAAUACAUUAGCAUGGAAUAAUGAAAUAGGACGUUUGAUUCUAUUUUGUUGGUUUCUAGGAUCGACGUAAUGAUUAAUAGGGAUAGUUGGGGGCAUUAGUAUUCAAUUGUCAGAGGCGAAAUUCUUGGAUUUAUUGAAGACUAACUACUGCGAAAGCAUUUGCCAAGGAUGUUUUCAUUAAUCAAGAACGAAAGUUAGGGGAUCGAAGACGAUCAGAUACCGUCGUAGUCUUAACCAUAAACUAUGCCGACUAGGGAUCGGAUGAUGUUAAUUUUUUAAUGACUCAUUCGG
This 512-nucleotide unclassified non-coding RNA is filed under the name uncultured Glomus. RNAcentral's name for it is "SSU rRNA". It matches the Rfam family "Eukaryotic small subunit ribosomal RNA", at positions 569 to 1083 of the family's 1831-position model. The record is from RNAcentral. Lineage: Eukaryota; Fungi; Glomeromycota; Glomeromycetes; Glomerales; Glomeraceae.